This 253-nucleotide ribosomal RNA is filed under the name uncultured bacterium. RNAcentral's name for it is "partial 16S ribosomal RNA". It matches the Rfam family "Bacterial small subunit ribosomal RNA", at positions 524 to 776 of the family's 1533-position model. The record is from RNAcentral.
UACAGAGGGGGCAAGCGUUGUUCGGAAUUACUGGGCGUAAAGGGCGCGUAGGCGGCCGCCUAAGUCAGACGUGAAAUCCCGGGGCUCAACCCCGGAACGGCCUUUGAUACUGGGUGUCUUGAGUUCGGAAGAGGUGAGUGGAAUUGCGAGUGUAGAGGUGAAAUUCGUAGAUAUUCGCAGGAACACCAGUGGCGAAGGCGGCUCACUGGUCCGACACUGACGCUGAGGUGCGAAAGCGUGGGGAGCAAACAGG